Molecule: non-coding RNA, 29 nt
Filed under: Mus musculus (house mouse)
Lineage: Eukaryota; Metazoa; Chordata; Mammalia; Rodentia; Muridae
Source: RNAcentral
UGCACUAUUCAGAACAACACCAGCUCUGC